AUUAAACGCUGGCGGCAUGCCUUACACAUGCAAGUCGAACGGCAGCGGGGGAGAAGCUUGCUUUUCCUGCCGGCGAGUGGCGAACGGGUGAGUAAUACAUCGGAACGUGCCCUGUAGUGGGGGAUAACUAGUCGAAAGAUUAGCUAAUACCGCAUACGACCUGAGGGUGAAAGUGGGGGACCGCAAGGCCUCAUGCUAUAGGAGCGGCCGAUGUCUGAUUAGCUAGUUGGGGGGGUAAAGGCCUACCAAGGCGACGAUGAGUAGCUGGUCUGAGAGGACGAUCAGCCACAGUGGGACUGAGACACGGCCCAAACUCCUACGGGAGGCAGCAGUGGGGAAUUUUGGACAAUGGGCGAAAGCCUGAUCCAGCAAUGCCGCGUGUGUGAAGAAGGCCUUCGGGUUGUAAAGCACUUUUGUCCGGAAAGAAAUGGCUCUGGUUAAUACCUGGGGUCGAUGACGGUACCGGAAGAAUAAGGACCGGCUAACUACGUGCCAGCCGCCGCGGUAA
This 508-nucleotide ribosomal RNA is filed under the name uncultured bacterium. RNAcentral's name for it is "partial 16S ribosomal RNA". It matches the Rfam family "Bacterial small subunit ribosomal RNA", at positions 30 to 523 of the family's 1533-position model. The record is from RNAcentral.